This 254-nucleotide ribosomal RNA is filed under the name uncultured bacterium. Its description in RNAcentral is "partial 16S ribosomal RNA". It matches the Rfam family "Bacterial small subunit ribosomal RNA", at positions 524 to 777 of the family's 1533-position model. The record is from RNAcentral.
GACAGAGGGUGCAAACGUUGUUCGGAAUUACUGGGCGUAAAGCGCGUGUAGGCGGCUAUGUAAGUCGGGCGUGAAAUCCCACGGCUCAACCGUGGAAGUGCACCCGAAACUGCGUAGCUAGAGUCCUGGAGAGGAAGGUGGAAUGCUUGGUGUAGAGGUGAAAUUCGUAGAUAUCAAGCGGAACACCGGUGGCGAAGGCGGCCUUCUGGACAGUGACUGACGCUGAGACGCGAAAGCUAGGGGAGCGAACGGGG